This 252-nucleotide ribosomal RNA is filed under the name uncultured bacterium. RNAcentral's name for it is "partial 16S ribosomal RNA". It matches the Rfam family "Bacterial small subunit ribosomal RNA", at positions 524 to 776 of the family's 1533-position model. The record is from RNAcentral.
UACAGAGGGUGCAAGCGUUGUUCGGAAUUAUUGGGCGUAAAGCGCGUGUAGGCGGCUUUGCAAGUCGGGUGUGAAAGCCCUCAGCUCAACUGAGGAAGUGCGCCCGAAACUGCAGAGCUUGAGUGCCGGAGAGGGUGGCGGAAUUCCCCAAGUGAGAGGUGAAAUUCGUAGAUAUGGGGAGGAACACCGGUGGCGAAGGCGGCCACCUGGACGGUAACUGACGCUGAGACGCGAAAGCGUGGGAGCAACAGG